GGUCCGCUGGCUCAAUGGCAGAGCGUCUGACUACGACCUCAAAGAAGUUAUCAGGAGGUUCCAGGUUCGACCCCUGGGUGGAUCG
Cercophora newfieldiana is the source of this 85-nucleotide non-coding RNA. The record is from the annotation of a GenBank genome assembly. NCBI's taxonomy places the organism in Eukaryota, Fungi, Ascomycota, Sordariomycetes, Sordariales, Lasiosphaeriaceae.